RNAcentral lists this ribosomal RNA (459 nucleotides) under uncultured bacterium. RNAcentral's name for it is "partial 16S ribosomal RNA". It matches the Rfam family "Bacterial small subunit ribosomal RNA", at positions 338 to 795 of the family's 1533-position model. The record is from RNAcentral.
CCUACGGGAGACAGCAGUGAGGAAUAUUGGUCAAUGGCCGAGAGUCUGAACCAGCCAAGUCGCGUGAGGGAAGAAUGUCCUAAGGAUUGUAAACCUCUUUUGUCGGGGAGUAAAAAGGCUCUGCGGUGUCGUAUUGAGAGUACCCUAAGAAAAAGCAUCGGCUAACUCCGUGCCAGCAGCCGCGGUAAUACGGAGGAUGCGAGCGUUAUCCGGAUUUAUUGGGUUUAAAGGGUGCGCAGUGGGCGUGUAAAGCAAGCGGUAAAAUUGUGGGGCUCAACCCAAUCGAGCAGUUUGAACUGGCGGGCUUGAGUUCAGGCGAGGUAGGCGGAAUUCGUGGUGUAGCGGUGAAAUGCAUAGAUAUCACGAAGAACUCCGAUUGCGAAGGCAGCUUACCAGUCUGCGACUGACGCUGAGGCACGAAAGUGUGGGUAUCGAACAGGAUUAGAUACCCGUGUAGUC